This is a long non-coding RNA of Osmia bicornis bicornis, 507 nucleotides long. RefSeq lists it as uncharacterized. The record is from RefSeq and is a predicted model, not a curated record. The transcript has 3 exons. NCBI's taxonomy places the organism in Eukaryota, Metazoa, Arthropoda, Insecta, Hymenoptera, Megachilidae.
UUUAAUCGUCGAAUCUUAAUUGCAUCCUGCCUUUGCCUCUUCGCAUGCAACCGGCAGCGUGAACACUUCGUAACACACGUCCUUCCGGAUCGUUUCAUCGGCCAAAAGCAACAGAUCCAUUAAACUAACGACUCCCGAAGAAAGGAUACCAAUUGACCCGUUCGUUACAGACUCGUAUACCUGUGGGUUUACACACAUUUGAUCAUCGAUGACUAACUCACCCGGCUCAGUGGCACGAAAAGAACCUCGAUAACGCUUUAUGACUUCCGUUCUCUCGAUGUCAGAAGGUCGUCGAUCGGCAGACUGAAAUCGAAGACACUUGAUUAAUAAGACGAAUGUUCGAUGGCUUCCUAAAAACAUGACAUACUACCGAGUUAUCUCGUGUUUAUAGAUAAGUACAGAUAGUAUCGUUCAAAGCUCGAUAUCUGAGUUUACCAAAAUGUUGAUGGUUAUUUGAAAUUUUAACAUUGAAAUUCUAGAACAUUAGUUAGUUUCAUAGUACACUUA